This is a non-coding RNA of Myodes glareolus (Bank vole), 1304 nucleotides long. NCBI's taxonomy places the organism in Eukaryota, Metazoa, Chordata, Mammalia, Rodentia, Cricetidae. The record is from RefSeq and is a predicted model, not a curated record.
AAUAUGCAAGUGAGCUAAACACAGCUUUCUUACACACUGCCACGUUUCUGCUUACUCUUAAGAUCUGCUCACUUUCCUCCAAAACUCUUUUAGACUGGAGGCUGAUCUUUGCGGACUUCUGAUCCUGGAAGGAAAGUGCCCAUUUUAUCUUGACUCUAUUUCUUUCACUUAUACUUGUGGAGCAGGACAGAAAUCUGUAAUGGUGAUGAUGGCCGUGUGUUUUGAGGUGUGCACAGUGAAGAAUUAUCCCAUGUUUGCCUGAGGGAAAAUUGAGACUUUUGAACUUUGGAGCUUCCAAAACGGCGCAAUGGCACUGGAGAAAUGUGAGGAAGGGUGAAACCCGAUUCUCAGCUUGGACACGGUGACGGUGUGGGGCGUGAGAAAAAUGAAGAGAAGCCAAUGGAAGGAGGUUGUCACACCAGACCCCAGGCUUGCUGCUGAGGCUACACGAAGCAGGCUGAGUGAAUCAGAAAAUUUCUUACCUCUGGAGGGCCGUAAGACAAUGCAUAUCACCAGUAAAGCAAGCGCAGUCAAAGUGGCAACUCCGAAGACAGUUUUCAGCCAUGUCUACAUAGAAUACAGAAAAUUCGACACGGGCUUAGUUCCUACUAAGGAAUGGUAUCUCCAUGUGUCUUGAUCGUGAGGCCUCAGUCCAAGAUAAAACCACCAGCCUGGUGUCAAGUGAAUGGCCCUCAAGAGGAUCUUCUCAGAUUGGUUGUUUUCUUUGGAACAUCCAACUAAUACUUUCUCAGAAAUUCUGUCCCAGCCUGCCAAACCCCCACAAGUCAACAAGUACUUUGUACUGAGUGAUUCCCAAGACCUCCUUUUCUCGACAGAAACUGUCUGCAAUAAAUGAUGAAGGUAUAAUUAAAAUGCAUCCUGCUAGCUUUAGCAAUUAAAGACACUGUCACAUGACUGGGAAGAGUAGCACUGUGGACUCUAGAAAUGAGUGGAGGAUUUACCCUUAGGACUCUCAGAGACUCACUGGAAGACAUCAGAGAGCCUUAAAGAAGAAACAGUUAAGUUGGAAGCGUUGGUGUGUGGAAAAAUGAUAAAGAUGAAUACACAUUCUAUUUUUGUUUGUGGUUUCCUUAGGAAGUUAGUUGAAUCAGACCAUAACAUCUGGAAACUUAUUAACUGUUUGAACUGUUUAAAGUAGAAUAUAACUGAGUACAGAAAUAAAGAUGGGCUCUUGCACCUAAUUUCAUAAGUUAGGAAUAAAUUUCUCAUAGCAGAAUUACAGAUAGGUAUGUGAUCUAGCUUGUAUCUAGACAACGGUUUUCAAAUACUUGGACUUUUAACCA